Molecule: ribosomal RNA, 393 nt
Filed under: uncultured bacterium
Lineage: Bacteria
Description: partial 16S ribosomal RNA
Rfam family: Bacterial small subunit ribosomal RNA
Source: RNAcentral
AUACGGAGGAUCCGAGCGUUAUCCGGAUUUAUUGGGUUUAAAGGGUGCGCAGGCGGGAGAUUAAGUCGGCGGUGAAAUUUUGGAGCUCAACUGGUAAAGUGGCCUCGAAAAUGGUUUCCUUUAGGGUAGCUGAAGUAGGCGGAAUUUGUGGUGUAGAGGUGAAAUGCAUAGAUAUCACGAGGAACUCCGAUUGCGCAGGCAGCUUACUAAACUACUACUGACGCUCAGGCACGAAGGCGUGAGGAUCAAACAGGAUUAGAUACCCUGGUAGUCCACGCAGUAAACGAUGAUUACUAGCUGUUUGCGAUACAAUGUAAGCGGCUGAGCGAAAGCGUUAAGUAAUCCACCUGGGGAGUACGUUCGCAAGAAUGAAACUCAAAUGAAUUGACGGGG